Hibiscus syriacus is the source of this 452-nucleotide long non-coding RNA. RefSeq lists it as uncharacterized. NCBI's taxonomy places the organism in Eukaryota, Viridiplantae, Streptophyta, Magnoliopsida, Malvales, Malvaceae. The record is from RefSeq and is a predicted model, not a curated record. The transcript is spliced from 4 exons.
AGGUGGGAGUUUGAAUGGAGUGCUGUGGAGGAAAGUGAUGAUUUAGCCGCCAAAUAACCAAGACUUAAAAAAGAUAGUAACAGCAUGGUAUCCAAAUUUGGAGUCCCUUGCUGAAAAGCUUGUAGAAACUUUUGAAGUGGUUAACCCUAUCUAUCUACACCAAUCCUUGGACUUCAAUCCUGGAAAACCUGUUUCCUUAAGUUCACUCAGCAAGUUCUCAUUGAGGGAUCUACUCAAGUGGUGUAAAAGAAUUGCUGGACUGGGUUUUAGUUUUACCUCUGAUGUUUUGACAGCUUUUGAAUGCCUUUGUAUUUAUCAGGAGGCAGUGGACGUAUUUGCUAGCUUUUCAACAUCUGUUGGAAACCGGUUGGCUAUAAUGAAAGAGAUUGCGAAGAAGUGGGCGGUUCCAACUUAUCAGGCAGAAACUUUGUAUCCUCACGAUGAACCUAUAA